UACGGAGGUUGCAAGCGUUGUUCGGAAUGACUGGGCGUAAAGGGAGCGCAGGCGGCCAAGUCAGUCUGAAGUGAAAGCCCGGGGCUUAACCCCGGAAUAGCUUUGGAUACUGCCUGGCUUGAGUGUGCGAUAGGAAAGCGGAAUUCCAGGUGUAGCGGUGAAAUGCGUAGAUAUCUGGAGGAACACCGGUGGCGAAAGCGGCUUUCUGGCGCAUAACUGACGCUGAGGCUCGAAAGCGUGGGGAGCGAACGGAAUUAGAUACCCCUGUA
This 269-nucleotide ribosomal RNA is filed under the name uncultured prokaryote. Its description in RNAcentral is "partial 16S ribosomal RNA". It matches the Rfam family "Bacterial small subunit ribosomal RNA", at positions 524 to 792 of the family's 1533-position model. The record is from RNAcentral.